This 454-nucleotide long non-coding RNA is filed under the name Prunus persica (peach). RNAcentral's name for it is "long non-coding RNA (PPER_LNC002676)". The record is from RNAcentral. Lineage: Eukaryota; Viridiplantae; Streptophyta; Magnoliopsida; Rosales; Rosaceae.
CUUUAUGAACUCUUUUUUUAUUAUUUUUAUAUUAUUUCUUUUCUCUCUUGGAAUAUAAAUGAUUAAUUUUUAAGUCUUUAAUAGUGUAGAUGAUGAAAUUAGUAUUUAACCAAUUUAAAAUAUAAAAUUCAUGAUAAUUAUGAAAUCCUGAUUUUACCACUGUAUAUUUUAUCGUAUUUUUCUUAUCUCGUAUUUUACUGUAACUCUGGUGGGUAGAUCAAGACUAUUGGACAAUGCAUGUGUCACAGUCACUCACAAUCACAGAUUCACAGCAAUGUGGUAUAAUCGUCGCAUAAUGAAUCGCUGACUAAAUAAAUAGCGAGUUAAUAACGUGGUUCCCUCCUCUUCUUUAAAUAAUAGUUGAAGAUGUGUCAUGCAGAUUCCAGACAACCCAUUGUCUCUUUAUAUCAUUUGACGUUUACCAACUUUAAUUACUCAAAUCCCUUUGUCAUUU